This 283-nucleotide ribosomal RNA is filed under the name Serratia marcescens. Its description in RNAcentral is "partial 23S ribosomal RNA". It matches the Rfam family "Bacterial large subunit ribosomal RNA", at positions 1 to 284 of the family's 2925-position model. The record is from RNAcentral. Lineage: Bacteria; Pseudomonadati; Pseudomonadota; Gammaproteobacteria; Enterobacterales; Yersiniaceae.
GGUUAAGUGACUAAGCGUACACGGUGGAUGCCUAGGCAGUCAGAGGCGAUGAAGGGCGUGCUAAUCUGCGAAAAGCGUCGGUAAGGUGAUAUGAACCGUUACAACCGGCGAUACCCGAAUGGGGAAACCCAGUGUGUUUCGACACACUAUCAUGUCAUGAAUACAUAGUGGCAUGAGGCGAACCGGGGGAACUGAAACAUCUAAGUACCCCGAGGAAAAGAAAUCAACCGAGAUUCCCCCAGUAGCGGCGAGCGAACGGGGAGGAGCCCAGAACCUGAAUCGG